GGCAUGGUAGCUCAGUUGGCUAGAGCGUUGGCUGGGCUAAAGCCUUCCCCAUGCUGGCGUGGGUUCAAAUCCCACCGAGGCCG
Molecule: transfer RNA, 83 nt
Filed under: Schistocephalus solidus
Lineage: Eukaryota; Metazoa; Platyhelminthes; Cestoda; Diphyllobothriidea; Diphyllobothriidae
Rfam family: tRNA
About the family: Transfer RNA (tRNA) molecules are approximately 80 nucleotides in length. Their secondary structure includes four short double-helical elements and three loops (D, anti-codon, and T loops). Further hydrogen bonds mediate the characteristic L-shaped molecular structure. tRNAs have two regions of fundamental functional importance: the anti-codon, which is responsible for specific mRNA codon recognition, and the 3' end, to which the tRNAs corresponding amino acid is attached (by aminoacyl-tRNA synthetases). tRNAs cope with the degeneracy of the genetic code in two manners: having more than one tRNA (with a specific anti-codon) for a particular amino acid; and 'wobble' base-pairing, i.e. permitting non-standard base-pairing at the 3rd anti-codon position.
Source: Rfam by way of RNAcentral